Mirounga angustirostris (Northern elephant seal) is the source of this 6680-nucleotide RNA transcript. It is a transcript of the gene named carbohydrate sulfotransferase 7, with no coding region annotated. The transcript is spliced from 3 exons. Lineage: Eukaryota; Metazoa; Chordata; Mammalia; Carnivora; Phocidae. The record is from RefSeq and is a predicted model, not a curated record.
CAGCUGAGCCGAGAGAGGGCAGGGGCGCCGCCACCAGCACCACCGCCUCCUAAGUUCCCCCUGGUGGAUGCACGGCUCGGUCGGUCGCUCCGCUCCUCCUCCCCCCUCCCGGCGCAGAGGGGCCCGAAGAGGCCGGAGGAGCGGGCUCAGGACGGGAUUUCUGAGGAAGGGGAGAGGACGGGCGCCCCACCCGCUCGGAGGGUGGGGGGCUCGGUGAACGAUGAAGGGCCGGCGGCGGCGGCGCCGGGAGUCCUGCAAGUUUGCGCUGCUCUUGGUGCUGUACACGCUGGUGCUGCUGCUCAUCCCCUCCGUGCUGGACGGCGGCCGCGACGGCGACAAGGGCGCCGGGCACUGCCCGGGCGUGCAGCGCAGCCUGGGAGUCUGGAGCUUGGAGGCGGCGGCGGCGGGCGAGCGCGAGCAGGGCGGGGAGGCGCGGCCGGCCGCGGAGGGGGACGCGGGCCAGCCCCCCCGGCCCCCGGGCAACCUCAGCGGCGCCGUCGGGGAGGCGGUGUCUCGCGAGAAGCAGCACAUCUAUGUGCAUGCCACCUGGCGCACCGGCUCGUCGUUCCUGGGCGAGCUCUUUAACCAGCACCCGGACGUUUUCUACUUGUACGAGCCCAUGUGGCAUCUAUGGCAGGCGCUGUAUCCGGGCGACGCCGAGAGCCUGCAGGGCGCGCUGCGCGACAUGCUGCGCUCGCUCUUCCGCUGCGACUUCUCGGUGCUGCGGCUGUACGCGCCGCCGGGGGACCCCGCCGCGCGCGCCCCGGACGCAGCCAAUCUCACCACGGCCGCCCUCUUUCGCUGGCGGACCAACAAGGUCAUCUGCUCGCCGCCGCUGUGCCCCGGCGCGCCCCGUGCCCGCGCUGAGGUCGGCCUCGUCGAGGAUGCCGCCUGCGAGCGCAGCUGCCCGCCCGUGGCUCUACGCGCCCUGGAGGCCGAGUGCCGCAAGUACCCGGUGGUGGUCAUCAAGGACGUGCGCCUCCUCGACCUGGGCGUGCUGGUGCCCCUGCUGCGGGACCCCGGCCUCAACCUGAAGGUGGUGCAACUUUUCCGCGACCCGCGGGCCGUGCACAACUCGCGCCUCAAGUCCAGGCAGGGGCUGCUGCGCGAGAGCAUCCAGGUGCUGCGCACCCGCCAGCGGGGCGACCGCUUCCACCGCGUGCUACUGGCGCACGGCGUGGGCGCUCGGCCCGGGGGCCAGGCCCGCGCCCUGCCCGCCGCACCGCGCGCCGACUUCUUCCUGACCGGCGCGCUCGAGGUGAUCUGCGAAGCGUGGCUGCGCGACCUGCUGUUCGCGCGCGGCGCGCCCGCCUGGCUGCGGCGCCGCUACCUGAGGCUGCGCUACGAGGACCUGGUGCGGCAGCCGCGCGCCCAGCUGCGCCGCCUGCUGCGCUUCUCCGGGCUGCGCGCGCUCGCCGCGCUCGACGCCUUCGCGCUCAACAUGACGCGGGGCGCGGCCUACGGCGCCGACCGACCCUUCCACCUGUCGGCGCGCGACGCCCGCGAGGCCGUGCACGCCUGGCGCGAGCGCCUGAGCCGAGAGCAGGUGCGCCAGGUGGAGGCGGCCUGCGCGCCAGCCAUGCGCCUGCUGGCCUACCCUCGCAGCGGAGAGGAGGGCGAGCUGGAGCCGCCCGUGGAGGAGGAGAAGCCGCUUGAGACCGAGGCCGACGGCGCCACGUAACCCCUGCCCGCCCCGCCCCCCCCAACGCGCGUCCCCGGGACGGAUCCGGCGCGUCUCAGACGGUGAAGGAGCGCCCAUACCUUGGGUUGUGGUGACCAGGAUGCCUGGAUGAAAUCGCCUUCUUAGCCCUCCUGCAGCCCCCGUGUAUUUGGCAAGCGGCAUUCCUGUGAUCCUUUUGAAGGACUGGAUACACUUUGAAACAAAAACGAUCACCUUUUCAUGAAGCCACACCGAUGCACGCCGGCGGCUUUAGCAAGCUCCUUGUCAGGAUGGCCUUCUGGUGCUGACGCCGGGGGUCGUACCUGUGGACUGGAGCUUCCGCUAUUUCAGGACACUCUCACUGGGGGAAUGUGGCUGAUUUUCAAUAAGGUUUAACCCUUGCUCCAUUUUUCUCUGUGCUCCUGAGAGCCCUCUUCGUAGUCUGGGGUGGGGGCGGGGGUGGGGGGCAGAAGUGCCCAUUUGCAGUUGUCGAGACAGGAUUCAGAGGGUUUUCGAAGAGGUUUUUUUUUAGCCUCGGCAGAGAUUUUCUUCCCAUGAAUACAAAUGUAAUAUAAAUAGUCCGCGCGAUGCUUUUAAAAAACAUUUAUAAGAACCUGGCUUAAAAUUCCUCAGUCUGCCUUUUCUCAGGCUGCCCUCCGCCUGAACAGCCGAGAGAAGAAUAGAAACUAAAAAAGCUAAGCUGGUCUCGCUUUUGUGGCCCUGCUGGCCCAGUUGAACAAGGUGACUUAGAAAUGAACCCCUCUGUGCCUCUCUGCCAGGUCUCCUGGCUCCUCAGCCUCUUACCCCGAAGUGGAGCUGAAGGAAUCUGCUCUGUUGAAAGAGACAUUUCUGCCUCCGUGCGGUAUGGGAUCAGCACAGUAAGGACUAAGAAACAGCCCUGGCCCAGGUUCAAGAGCACGGGGAAGUGGAGAACCGUUUGGGAGCUGAACAGGAAGCAGUCUCAGUUGGAGAAAAGUCGCAGAGCUCAGUGAUGCCUUCAUGAGAAUUGGAGCCCUUCAGCUUUGCUCCCCGCCCCCCCUCCCCCCCACCCCCAGCCUGCAGGCACCACGCCAGCGUCCGUCCGGGUGUGACAUCUGCAGCUGGCCUCGGUCACAUUAAAGACCGUCGUGCGGGAUGCCGAGCAGAAACUGGGGCAUCAGCCGACAGUGGAUAGUUUUCAGUUAGGGGGUUAAGAGGCGGUAAGGGACGACCACCACGUUUGACCUCGAGGACCACCGUGUUCAGGGUGAGCAGACUCCCCUCCCCUGAAAUCAACGCGAGUGGCAAGGAGCUUUGCCGUAGAGCGACAUUCUGGAAACAGCCACUGAGGCAGACGGGGUUUUGCGCGUGGAAUGGAAGCCCUUUCUGUUAAGCCUUUCAGGCAGGUGUUCAGAGGAGCCCCAGAAGGCACAGGGCGCGCCGUGAGGACGCAGGGCAGUCCCCGGGCCCUGCCAGCAAGAGGCCUCAAAUCUGGCCUGACAUGCACAAUGUCUAGAGGGCCAGUUGGGAGAGGUGAAUGUUGUGUGAUGGACGUCCCUUGGUCAUGGCAACCAGCAGGCUGGAAGCAGAGAAACCAGCCAUAACAGAAAGUCAGAAAUAGAACAACGACAGAAUCAUUUGUGAGGUAUGGGGAGCAGGUAGGGGCUCGAGACUGUGCGUUCUUUUGUAGAGAUGACAAACUGAGGGACGGUAGGAGCAGCCCCCACAUGAACUUGGGGGGCUAACUGAAGCAGUUCUUAGAGAACAUACAGCUCAGGGGAGCAGUAGGGAAAAAGGCUCCAGAGCUUUUGAGGUCACUCUCCCCCCAUGACUGAGACCAGGCUUGACGGGAGAGGGCUCGUCACGGCUGCAGAGAGAUUAUGGGAACAGUAAGCCAAAAAGACUAAAACCAAGAUAAUGUUUUUAAAAAUAGGACUUCCGAGACUCUUAACUCUGGGAAACAAACUGAGGGCUGCUGGGUGGGUGGGGAGGUGGGUGGGGGGCUGGGGUAACGGGGGGAUGGGCACGGAGGAGGGCACGGGUUGGGGUGAGCACUGGGUGUGAUACGCAGCUGAUAGUUUAGUGAACACUACACCUGAAACUAGUGAUGUACUAUCAGUUGGCUAAUUGAAUUUAAAUUAAAAAACCAAAACAGACAAAAAUAGGACUCCUUUCAUACAGCCCAGAGCUGGCAUAUGUUGAAUAUUCGGAUUUUAAGAGCAAUAAAAGUAGAUGCUGUUUCUUGCUCUAAUAAAGGGUAUCACCAACAGGGAUGUAAUAAAGGAAAAUAAUACAUUUUUCAGGUUCUGCAAACAACUGUUGCCUUUCUGUGCACUCUGCCCCCCUCCCCCCGCCUCCCCCAGCUAGGGAUGGCAAGGGGGGGACUGUUUUGCAAAGAAGAGAGACGGUUGGCUGAAAAGAAACACACACAAACACACCCUGCCAAAGAACAACAGAAUUCCUAGCAUUAUUGAAUGCCUUUUAAAUUUAUUUUUGUUCUAUUUUUAUUUCUCAGCAAAGGGAAAGUGAAAUAGUUUCGAGCUCCAGAGAAAUUCAUGCCCUGGUCCUAAAUAUGGCAAUCUCUGGCGGUCCUGCGGGCCCGGGAGAGGACUGGUUUACCCGCUCCGACCUCCCGUGCCAAAAUGAACCUGCUCUCAGCUGCUGUGCCAUUUGCUUUUUAAAGAUGUAUUUAUUUAUUUGGGAGAGCGAGAAUGAGCGAAUGAGCCGGGGUGGGGGGUGCAGAGAGAGAGAGGGAGAGAAUCUCGAGCAGACUUCCCAGCUGAGUGCAGAGACCCACCCCAGGGACCCCCUCCACUCCCCCAACCUUCAUCCACUCCAUUAACCAAUAGCCCCUGUGGGGGCCAGAGGGCUGCCUGAAUGACAGAUCCAAGCUCCGGCACUUCCUAGCCCCGAGCCCCCACUAACCGGGGCUGCCCCCACUUGGUAGAUGACAAACAUCUGCAGGUGGGCGAGCAAAUGCAUAUUAUAAGAUACUGACUCAGUUCCUUUAUUUGAGUCAGGAACGACUUUACUCACAAAAGCAAUUAUGUAUGCCAAUUAAAAUUAUACCUCGGAGCAGCUCAAUGAAAGGAAAAAUCAAAAGCCAACUAAGCAGACUCAGCUGUUCCCAAGUUUCAUAAAUACUGUUUUGGAGCAUAUUCAUUUUGUUCUCGAGUGAGCUCAGAAACUUGGGAUGUUUUUCGCUGGGGGUGGGCAUGAUCAAACUGGAAGCAUGUUAUUAUUUUAUCCUGUCCUAUUGAGGAAAUAAAUGGCCAUUUCAUUUUGGCCCUGGCUGACUCUGGGGCUUGACCAAUGAAUGACUCGCAUGGGUUGAGGUUUUCCUUGGAUUUCUAGAGCAGAGAAGUGAGUCCUUUUCUCUCCCUGUGAGUGGCGAGGGGGUGGAGGGCAGCUCAGCUCCACCUGGGCUGCCCACGUCCCAGCAAGUGGCUUCUCCCCUAGUUUCUCCCCCUGCUCCCCAGGCAAGAGUUCUGUUUGUGGGUUUUUUUCUUUAACUCCGUUUUCACCUGAAGUGAGAGUUGUUUUAAGUAGUAAGUAUGACUAGUGCAAAUGUACUGGUAACACCCCCCCCCACACUUAAUUUUUCACACGGAAAGUCUGGAAAUAAUUUAUAACAUUUAUGCUAUUUAAGUACAUUUCUAGGCAAUUUGGGGGGUGCGGUUGCAUGAGCUAACUAAAUGUUUCCUAUGACAUUUCGCUUGAGCGUCACAGUGAGGGAAAGCUCGCACUUUGACAUUUCUGGGUUUUCAAGUAGUAUUUUCACAUUAUCCCCAAGCAGCUCCCUUAAAAAAGAAAAAAAAAAAAACAACCACCCAACUUGAUGGCCCCAUUGUCGUAAACACUGUCAGUCAUUUCCGUUUUCCUUAGCACCGCAUUUCACCGAUUUGAGGUGAAAACAGGAAGGUUAAGAAAGCUUCGCGGGGGUUAACAGAUGAUCUUGGGCAGGAACCUCAUCCCCAGAGGGUGGGGCCGGGGGAGGAUGUUGGGAGAAGCCCCCGCGAGGAGACGUGGCCGCCGAAGAGGAGGCUAACGCCCGUGCUCGGCCCACUUGUCCUGGACUGGGUCCAGGAGGAAGGCCCUUACAAUGGGCCGGAGAGUAAUUCGCCCGUGGUCAGCCAGCAUGCAGCGGGGCACUCAGCAUGUCGCCCCAGCACGGGGGAGGCAGAGAUGGGGACUCGGCUUGGGGACCACCCGCUGUGCAGCUCUGCGGAGCAGGAAUGGCACCAGAUAUUAAAUGACGACCGACACAUUGGUUGAAAGGAAGUUUCCAGUAAGGAAGUGACAGUACGAUGCGGAUCAUUAGAGCCGUACAGUAGGAAACGCUCGCGUCCCCAGCCUGCACCUGCCUCUGCUGGGCCUGUUCCAACGUGGUGUUCUCAGAAUGCAGAGGAGACGCGAUCGGGUACCGUGUCCCAGCAGCAGCGGGUGCCUGGACAAAUCAUCAGUGUGACUGAGGGCCAAGUGCAGUCCCGUGUACCUUGAUUACAUGACCUAAUAUUAAAUAAGAGGUCUGAGUGCCACUAGUUUAAACCGGACUCAUUCAGCUCUUUUUCAAAGAGCUCCCCCUACACCUGCCCCUAAACCAAUUUUUAAGAAGUGGUUUCUCUCCCUGGGGUGGGAGAGCCCUAACGAGCUGACACGAAUUUUCACUUGCAAGUUCUUCUGUCUGGUGUUUUUGUAAUUAUACUAUUAAAGGACUCCGGAGUCAGUGUUAAUGACAAGAUUCGUUUUGUUUUGCUAGGAUGAUUUUUUGAUGAAGUUCAGUUGCGUGGUUCGGGGAAAAGCCAGUCUGCCUACAAAGGAAUUCAUGAAGACGAUCAAGGAAACUGUAUUGAGUUCAAGAACCUUAGCAACUAUCCAACACUCAAAGUCUGUUCACCACUGUUGUAGGCCGGAAGUUACCACACAGACCAGAUUUAAAGUGUUUCUCUUAAUCCCAAGGCACAUUUAAAUAAUCUCAGAAGUCUGCUACUGUGAUUUUUAGACCCUGUUUUGAAACUCAAGUUUUUCAAGCACCUAAAGC